RNAcentral lists this ribosomal RNA (253 nucleotides) under uncultured bacterium. RNAcentral describes it as "partial 16S ribosomal RNA". It matches the Rfam family "Bacterial small subunit ribosomal RNA", at positions 524 to 776 of the family's 1533-position model. The record is from RNAcentral.
UCCGUAGGGGGCAAGCGUUGUCCGGAAUUACUGGGCGUAAAGGGCGCGUAGGCGGCCUUCUAAGUCGAACGUGAAAUCCCCGGGCUCAACCCGGGAACUGCGUCCGAUACUGGAAGGCUUGAAUCCGGGAGAGGGAUGUGGAAUUCCAGGUGUAGCGGUGAAAUGCGUAGAUAUCUGGAGGAACACCGGUGGCGAAGGCGACAUCCUGGACCGGUAUUGACGCUGAGGCGCGAAAGCCAGGGGAGCAAACAGG